CUGACCUACCAUGGCUGACCAGAGGCAGCGCUCACUGUCCACCUCCGGGGAGUCUCUGUACCAUGUGCUUGGACUCGACAAGAACGCCACUUCAGACGACAUUAAAAAGUCCUAUCGGAAGCUCGCGUUGAAGUACCACCCUGAUAAGAACCCCGACAACCCCGAAGCCGCGGACAAGUUCAAGGAGAUCAACAACGCCCACGCCAUCCUGACGGACGCCACUAAGAGGAACAUCUACGACAAGUACGGCUCGCUGGGGCUCUAUGUGGCCGAGCAGUUCGGGGAGGAGAACGUCAACACCUACUUCGUGCUCUCCAGCUGGUGGGCCAAGGCCCUGUUUGUCGUCUGCGGGCUGUUCACGUGCUGCUACUGCUGCUGCUGCCUCUGCUGCUGCUUCAACUGUUGCUGUGGCAAGUGCAAGCCGCGGGCACCCGAGGGCGAGGAGACCGAGUUCUACGUGUCCCCCGAGGACCUGGAGGCACAGCUGCAGUCCGACGAGCGGGGAGGGCACUGACUGUGCGGGCGUGUUUGUGGUGGCAGCGGGACUGUGUGUGAACUGGACCUGGAGAGGCCACAGACACGCCCAUCGUCAUCCAGCCAGCCUCGGCCACAGAGACCACCCAGCUCACGACCGACUCCCACCCCAGCUACCACACUGACGGUUUUAACUAAGUCCAGAGAAGCCGUGACGAGCAAUGGUCAGCGCCCGGCCACGGCCACCUUAGAAUCAUGAACUGUAGUCCCGCCUCUGGGCCUCCCACCCGUCCACCCCGACAGUCCAGCCGAGUGCGUAGCAUGCGGUGUUGAAAGCUCCCGCCGCGGCCUCCCUCCUCCCCCGAGUAGCAUGUCUGGGUCCGUCCCCGUGUCUGGACUGCUCGCGGCCUGAC
Sorex fumeus (smoky shrew) is the source of this 887-nucleotide RNA transcript. It is a transcript of the gene named DnaJ heat shock protein family (Hsp40) member C5, with no coding region annotated. NCBI's taxonomy places the organism in Eukaryota, Metazoa, Chordata, Mammalia, Eulipotyphla, Soricidae. The transcript has 5 exons. The record is from RefSeq and is a predicted model, not a curated record.